CAGCAGCCGCGGUAAUACAGAGGGUGCAAGCGUUAAUCGGAAUUACUGGGCGUAAAGCGCGCGUAGGUGGUUUGUUAAGUUGGAUGUGAAAUCCCCGGGAUCAACCUGGGAACUGCAUCCAAAACUGGCAAGCUAGAGUAUGGUAGAGGGUGGUGGAAUUUCCUGUGUAGCGGUGAAAUGCGUAGAUAUAGGAAGGAACACCAGUGGCGAAGGCGACCACCUGGACUGAUACUGACACUGAGGUGCGAAAGCGUGGGGAGCAAACAGGAUUAGAUACCCCAGUAGUCCCUGUCUCUUAUAC
This 301-nucleotide ribosomal RNA is filed under the name uncultured bacterium. RNAcentral describes it as "partial 16S ribosomal RNA". It matches the Rfam family "Bacterial small subunit ribosomal RNA", at positions 509 to 807 of the family's 1533-position model. The record is from RNAcentral.